AGAGAGGAGGGGAGGGGGGGAAGCGCCUCAUUCCUUCUUCCACCGCCAUACUGUAUUUUAUAGUAACUCAUUUUUAUUCCUCUCUUUUACUCCCGCUCGUGGAAGGUUUUCCUGGAGAAUGAAGUGCGGUUUGGUUUCCUUGUCAACGGAAGAUGAAGUGAACAACUGAACAUCUCCCCAGUGCAGACUUGCUGGACCUUCCCUCCUGCUCUGGACCUCUCCCCUGGCGUCGGCACAGCUUAGAAGGAUGAAAGAAGAGGAAGCAAUAGGAGAGGGAUGGAAGAGGGGAGAGGAGUAAAAGGAGGAGGAGGGCAGCAAUUGAAAUGGAGAAAAAUUCAACAGCGGUUCAGUUAAGGCUUAAAUAAUGAAAUGUUUAUAAGAUCCCCUCCUACUGACCUUUCUGGGUCAUUGCCCUCUCCCUCUCUGUCACCUUAGUUUUCAUCAGCACUUCAGCCACAGCAGCCUCGCUUUUAAUUUUCGCUUGUUAUUAUCAACAACAAAACAAACAAACAAUCCCAGAAUGCAGCACCCUGCUUACAGACCUAAUUUCCAGGGUGGUGGGGUUUUUAUUUUUGUUUUUUAGAUGAAAUACGGUUACAUUGUUAAGUAUGCAAGUCAGUAGGAGUACUGGCAUGAUUAAGGACUAUUUCUGUGAGUUACGUUGGGACUAGAUUUGCAGUUAGGCAGUCCUAACUUGCAUCACUGUUGCAAUGGCCCCUUAUGUGCCAUUGCAGGGGUGCAGAACUGCUGGGCUGAAAGGAUUCCACAGCCAUGCCUCCUCCCAUGCUGAUGUGCCCCUUCCUCUUCAGGCCCACCCCUAUCUGGAAUGCCUCCUGCAUAGUAGGGCUGCUGCAGGAGGAAUCACAAUAUUAGUAGAGACAGUACUCGGCCUGGAGGACUCCUAAAAUGGAUAUUUCCUGAGUGGGGGGAAAGGGGACUUACAUCUGUCCUAUCCCUCCUUUGCACCAGACUAUCUAGCAUAAAGGGGCCAUAGGGCAGUCAUUGAAUGGGUACAAAGGCAACUGACAGUAGCAAGUUUGCAGGCGUAAGCCUUUAUACUGGAAGUGGUAAAAAAUUCCUGAUGUUGUAUUUCAAAUAAAAAUUGAACAUGGUUGUAAGUGAAGUUUUUUUGUUUUUCACAUCUAGCCCAACAGGUGCUGGUGGAACUGGUCCAGAGCAGAAUGGUCAGGUCUGAAAGCCUAAAAGGAAUGUUCAUGACCUAAGCAAACAAUCUUUUUAAUAAUAAUGCGCGAGCACACACACAUAUACACAUACACACUUGUUAAAUAAAAGUUUGAGGGAAUAGUAACUUCUUUUGGUGAAUUUGUUAAAAUAUUAUUAUUUAAAUAAACUUUUUCAUUUUAUAAUUUCUCUCCACUUACAAUGUAAACAUGGACUCUUGUCUCAUA
Molecule: long non-coding RNA, 1409 nt
Organism: Mauremys reevesii (Reeves's turtle)
Lineage: Eukaryota; Metazoa; Chordata; Testudines; Geoemydidae
Exons: 3
Source: RefSeq, a predicted model, not a curated record